CAUAUACUCCCUCCGUCCCAAAAUACUUGUCCUAGAGAUGAAUGUAUCUAGACUUAUUUUAGUUAUAGAUACAUCCAUUAUACCAAUUUUUUGGACAAGUAUUUUCGGACGGAGGGAGUAUAAC
This is a non-coding RNA of Hordeum vulgare subsp. vulgare (domesticated barley), 124 nucleotides long. The record is from Rfam. NCBI's taxonomy places the organism in Eukaryota, Viridiplantae, Streptophyta, Magnoliopsida, Poales, Poaceae.